UUUAGAAAAAAAGACUUUUACUUCACAUACACACUAAAAUAAAAACACUUUCACAAACACGGCGACACCGACAUCAAACUACGAGUUCAUGUUUCCAAAACUGCUCUGGACACGACAUUUCAUCGUCUCUCUUUGACAGUUUGAACUCCUGUCGAAGUACAAAGAGCCUCUUUUAUACACAUAAAUACUUUCUUUUGAAGCCAACAGUUAUUUUACAUGAAGUCUUUUAACAUAUUCACAGUCAGUUGCAGUCAUUCGUUAAGUCUGGCGGCUUCGCUCUCGGUGACGUUUAUUAAAAAACUGAGAAGUAAAGAGGUUAAAUUAAACAUCCAUGUUGGUUUAAAGGACGUAGAGAAGCAAGUGGAAGAGCAUCGACUCUGAGGGUCAAAAUAUUCUGUUUUUAAAACAAGAAAAACACAAGAAACAAAUGAUAAAAAAAAACAGUUACAGACGAUAAAAAUAAAAAAUACACAGUAUGAAUUUAACACUCGGUGUUUUACACUUUUAAAGGGUUCAGACAUUCAAAUCCAGGACAAAGAUUCACCUCUCAAGUUACUUUAAAAAAAUGUUAAUUUUUAUUGAAUCUUUCAGAAUCAGAUUGUUUCUAAACACUAAACUAGCUGAACUGAACCAGCUGUUUGUGCGAGAAAAUGAUUGUUGUGUCUGAUUGUGUCUCUGAAGGAGUCGAAUGAACCAUGUCCGAGUUCACCAUGUCAACGAUAAGUUUUCUGAGAAGCUUCGAGUUUGUCCUCUCCUGACAUGUCCUCUCCAGUGUGAGCCAGUUUCAGGUCAAUAAAACACGUUAUUAUGCAGCUGACGGGGUCGAAGUUGGCUAACGUCAAUGAGAGUAAAGGACCAAAAGGAGGCGCUACAGCAAGAGUCAGUCAAGAUCGGGAACUUUAUCAUCCAGUAUUUUCUUCCUCUAAAAAAGUCGUUUAAUUUAAGCGUUUCAAGAGAAAACUAAGAAGACGAUUUCUGAUCUUUCGGCAUCCAUGACGCCGUUUC
Xyrichtys novacula (pearly razorfish) is the source of this 1005-nucleotide non-coding RNA. Lineage: Eukaryota; Metazoa; Chordata; Actinopteri; Labriformes; Labridae. The record is from the annotation of a GenBank genome assembly.